GAUGAACGCUGGCGGCGUGCCUAAUACAUGCAAGUCGAGCGAACAGACGAGGAGCUUGCUCCUCGGAUGUUAGCGGCGGACGGGUGAGUAACACGUGGAUAACCUACCUAUAAGACUGGGAUCACUUCGGGAAACCGGAGCUAAUACCGGAUAACAUGUUGAACCGCAGGGUUCAACGGUGAAAGACGGUCUUGGUGUAACUAAUAGAUGGAUCCCCGCCGCAUUAGCUAGUUGCUAAGGUAACGGCUUACCAAGGCAACGAUGCGUAGCCGACGGGAGGGAGUGAUUGCCGACCCUAGAGCUGAGACGGGCACAAGGGGCCUACGAGAGGCCGCAGUAGGGUACCUGACGCAGCGGUCGGGAACAUGGCGGAACAGCGCCGCGCGUGAGGCAGAGGUGUUCGGAUCGUGAAGCUCUCUUAUUAGUGAAAAACAGAUGUCUACGUAAAUGUGCACGUAUUGACGGUACCUAAUCAGAAAGCAACGGCUAACUACGUG
Molecule: ribosomal RNA, 497 nt
Filed under: uncultured bacterium
Lineage: Bacteria
Description: partial 16S ribosomal RNA
Rfam family: Bacterial small subunit ribosomal RNA
Source: RNAcentral